RNAcentral lists this ribosomal RNA (492 nucleotides) under uncultured bacterium. RNAcentral's name for it is "bacterial SSU rRNA". It matches the Rfam family "Bacterial small subunit ribosomal RNA", at positions 1038 to 1529 of the family's 1533-position model. The record is from RNAcentral.
GUGGUGCAUGGUUGUCGUCAGCUCGUGUCGUGAGAUGUUGGGUUAAGUCCCGCAACGAGCGCAACCCUUAAGCUUAGUUGCCAGCAUUAAGUUGGGCACUCUAAGUUGACUGCCGGUGACAAACCGGAGGAAGGUGGGGAUGACGUCAAAUCAUCAUGCCCCUUAUGAUUUGGGCUACACACGUGCUACAAUGGACAAUACAAAGGGCAGCUAAACCGCGAGGUCAUGCAAAUCCCAUAAAGUUGUUCUCAGUUCGGAUUGUAGUCUGCAACUCGACUACAUGAAGCUGGAAUCGCUAGUAAUCGUAGAUCAGCAUGCUACGGUGAAUACGUUCCCGGGUCUUGUACACACCGCCCGUCACACCACGAGAGUCUGUAACACCCGAAGCCGGUGGAGUAACCAUUUAUGGAGCUAGCCGUCGAAGGUGGGACAAAUGAUUGGGGUGAAGUCGUAACAAGGUAGCCGUAUCGGAAGGUGCGGCUGGAUCACCUC